CCACGCCCUCUCAUAAGUGAAGAACAGGAAUAUUCCGGUUUUUCCAGGUUGCCUGAAAAAAUGUAGUCACGUAGUUUUCUUAGACGGUGAACAAGCUGUAUUACAAAGAGCAAAAGGUUUUUUCUUUUGGAGAUACACCGAAAUAUUAAAGAAAUAUUCAGAGAGCGAGACAACAUUGGUUGUGAUGGCUGAACGUUUUUUCCUGCUACUAGUCACCCAUGAGGCACGGAGCAGCCGCGUGAGCACAUUUUGACCAGAGGUCAGGUCCUUUUAGCGGGAACCUAAACUUCCUGGAGCUGCAUUCGAAUAUCGUUGGAUGUCGAUGCUGGAACUGGCGUGAACAGGAAGUUGGGGGAGGUACUCAAUGGAAGGGUAAAUACCAGUGACCUCAGCAGACCAGCUAAUCAUCCACAUCCCACCAGUUUGCAAGUGGACCAACCUUUGUGAAGAACUUGUGGCCACGGAUAUUCUGCGGUGACGGGCGAUCCCGUGGGUCGAUUUGAAAUAUUUUGCCCAUCAGUUUCCCAGCUUCAAUACCGAGGUUCUGGGGUAGAAUAAAUUUAGCUUCUUUGAUGUUCUUUAUCAUUUCACAGCGAUCGUCGUGAUCGAAUGGGAUUUCCCCAACCAGAAGCUGGUACCUGUAGUAAGAAAGGCAGCAAAGGUGUUUGAGGUCUUUCACAUUUGACAUAAAAAUGCUGUGCUUCCAAAAGAGCAAUUCCUCUCAACUGUGUGCCAGUAUUCAUUUUUCUUUUCUAUUUCAAGUAGAAAAAAAAAACAUAUUUAUGUAUGUUAGACGCAUGUCUUCUUAAAAUGUUAGACAGAUUUUAUUAGCCAUGCUGAUCUUUGGCCGGGAGGAGGGUUGAUAGGGUAUACGUACAUGACACAGCCCAGUGCCCAGACUUCUGCUUCCGUUCCAUGGCCCUCUCGUUUCCACACUUCUGGAGCCAUGUAACAUGGAGUACCACACACUUUUCUACAACACACACAAAUGGAAAACGUUAAGCGCACAUGUGCUUUAGCUUGCUGUAUAAACAAAUUUGAAAGCUUAGCCAGGAAUUCUGCAAAAAACACCUACUUGUCCCUCGGCUCCAGCUUGACCGCCAGUCCAAAAUCCCCGAUUUUCAGUUUCAUUUUGUCACUGACAAAUAAGUUUUCUGAAAGACAAACAAAUUUGCAUUAAGGAUAGACUCAAAUACUUUGCCAAACUGCAGACUUUACCAAAUUGAUAAAUGAACACUACACAGAAAUCCAGACGAGCUACACUCGCAAUGCCAUGUGAAAUGCCAGCAUUAUUAAACAGAGAAUUGAGUAAAGCGUGAGUGCAUGUACACAUAUCGAACUAGAUUUCCCUAUGGACAUAAUAUUGCCGGUAGAUGUGUUUUAUCCCCGAUAUCAGCUGUUGAAUGUAAUAGCGGACUUCGGGGUCAAUCAGAGUCCCGCGAGCUUUCAGGAUGUCACCAAGUGUCUGGGCAGGGAGAAACAGGGGCAGCCUGAUCCAUCACAAAGUCUUUGCCUUAGUAAGACGUCUAUAAAAGUCAGGGACUCACCUGCCUACUGCACAACUCCAUGAAAAUAUACAUGAACAGAUCGUCUUCAAAAGAAUGGGAGAAGCCCACAACGUUCUUGUGCCGUGGUUUUUUUCAAAAUUUCCACUUCUUGACACACCUGAGUGAAAUAUCAAACACACCAUCUCAUCAAGUACUGUAACAGGGAAAUGCAGAUAAACUGCAAAGAGGGAUGACAUUAAGCACAAUCCAUACCACAUACCUCCUCCAGUCCCCAGGAAUGUGGAGGUAUGACCAUCACAGCAAAGGUGUCACCACUUUCAAGGUCGGUCAUCUUGUAGCACUUGCCACAAGCACCCUAAAGAACAUGUCAAUAAAGGGCAUUUCUGACUGACCCUGUUCAAGCAUCUCCUCUCCGCAGAAAAAGAUCAACUGUAAUCACUUUCAACAACAACUUUGUGGUGCACACCUGUCCCAAAAGCGGCCAAGACAGCUGGGCAAUUUGAACUUGCUAGAUGGAUUACAUCACCACAUUGAAAAUUCCAUGGACGGAAAAAGAGGUGAACUUGCUAAGACAUUGCAACAAAACACGGAUAAAAACUUUCAUUACAAUCAACUUCAUUGAAGAAAAAAAACCCAUCUCCGUUAUGUACACCAAACAUUCAGUUUCGGUAAUGCAGUAACACAUGCUCAGGAAUAAAGACUUUUAUGUAGUGUGCAGUGACUAUCACAUCAUAUGUUACUGCGGCUCUUUAGGCACUCAGCUAUCGGUCUCACUUUGUCAUACAGAACAGGGAUUCAUUUCCUGGUGAAAAACUUCCUAUGUGGUAUGUGAUACCUCAGCUCCAAGAUGUGGAGCAGUUAUCUAUUACACCGUAAGGCUGGAUAUUUUUACAAAUAAAGGCAGCAAUGGUGUCGGUUAUUGCCUUAGAACGAGCUGUUAGCUGGCAGGGUGUGAAAAUUAGGGCGUUUAUUUUUUUUAAAGAGUUUUGUGUUAUUUGAAAGCAUUGUGAAAUGUAAAAAAAAAAACAGUAAUGAUAUGAUGAAAAUGGGAAUACUGACGUUGACAAUGCCAAUAUAAUAUUUUGGUAUGUUAAGGCAUGUUUGUUCUCUGCUUUAAAGAAAGGGGGAUGUGUUGAUAUGUAGUGCAGUACCUUUGGUGACCAGCAGAGAGACCUGGAGGGUUGGGAGGAGGUAAAGACAAGGGCUCGCGCGACGUGGCCGAGGGACUUGAGGAGAAUUAUACACUGACAGCAGUGGAGAUGAGAGCGCACUUGAAAUUAUCAAGUAAGAGAGGGUUAAUCGAGCAAAAUGUACAAUUAUUGGUCAGAAAAUGUCGGUCAAAUUUCUAAAUAAUUAUGGCGUACGAAUAAUGAUAUAUCCGUAAAUCGUAUUUUACCGAUUUAAAGAUGUUCAUUAUUCAUUGUAUUGUCACGCCCCCCUCGGGAGAAUGCAGCGGCAGCAGCCACACCUGAGUUACGUCAACUCCCUGUUUAGUUCUGCUUGGCGCUGCAUUAUAUGCAAGGUACUGUUGAGGGUUUUCAUAAGAAGUACAGGGCGGUCUUCCUCCUGUCUACCCCGAUCCGGUCCAUCUGCCUGCUUUGCUGCCAUCCCAUCCCAUCCCAUCCUGAUCCACCCGGACCUCUCCCUUGUACUUGUCCUGCGUCUCGCAUGCCACCUGUAGAACUGGCUUUUGGACUCGAUUGUACUUGCUGAUUCCAGUCCUGUUUGCGUGUUCCCAACAAUAAACCCCGUACAGUACGUUGCCUUCUGUGUCUCUACCAUCCUCCGGGGUUGCAUGUUGUGCAAUACUGUAGUAGCUUGGAUUCAACCAUUAGAUGGCAGUAGUAGCAUAUAGUUGGAGGGAAGUAGAAGAAGGCAAGAGAGGGAAGUUGAGUGUUUGUGCGUUGUUCCCGGAGCUGAUAAGUUAAUAAAUAUUGAACCUCUUGCCAUCCCCAAAUGUGUCUCGGCUGACUCUCAAUAUAUCAAAAGUACAUACCGUCUAUUUAUUUAUGUCUGCCCUUCAAACCGCUAGAUUCCUUCACUAAGCAGGAAGUUUGUCACGACAGCUGACACCAAAUCUCCUGCUGAGCUGGUUCAGACAGAACUAUCCUCAAUUCACCACGAGGGGGUGCCAACGCAGCAGCUUAGUUCUAUUGUUUCGCUUUUUCAAAGACAGUUUUUCUCUUCACAAAAGGACAACUUAACUGAAUAAUGCACUUUCAUAGUAAUUGUUUUUAAUCCGUGUUAAUGUUCUGAACAAUGACUACUAAAGGUUCUGUAAGGUUGUCCCACAUACUAUGGAUUUUAAGUUUUUUAUCAAGGUGUUAAAACGUACCAUCUAUUUUCUGCUGAAAGUUGCCAGUCCUGUGUUUUAUGUCUAGCAAUUUGUACAGUUUCUUCAGUAUGGCACAUAAACACAUGCCAUCAUCUACAGUAUGAGAAUCUCCUCCAGAACUCUGCAUUUCCUCAAGAUUUUUUUGUAAUAUUACAUAGGUGCAUCUCAUGAACCUUAAUUUGCCAAGCAUGUAUUGACUGGGCACAGUACAGUGGUGCAAUUUCUGACAAUGAAAGAACAUCAUGGACCCCUACUCCCCAUUCCUUAACCCGAUCGAGGGGCUCUGCUCAGCAUGGAGUUAGAAGGCUUACGAUCGCUAGCCACAUGCUCAGAUGGCCCUGCUGGCUGACAUGAAUGCAGCAUGUGAGGACAUUACAGCAGAUGCCUGCAGAGGCAGACACUUCACUGGCUGUGGAUGUUGUUCAGCCCAGCUACCUGAUGAGGGUCCAGCAUGGAGACAGUGUGACCCUGACAUGCUUCCGUCCAGAAGAUAUUUCUUUUGCAGUUUGGUUUUAGCAAGCUGCUGGUCAGAAGCCCCAGCUCAUCGCGAAAGCACUUCUCUACGUACCUGGCGGAACCCACCGAAUAGCCCGUCUCGAUCACGCCCACAUGGGCGGGACCAGCCAGGUGCUCCGUAGAACGCUUAAUGACGGAAUGGAUUUAAGCACUGAGCUCCAUCGGGACAUUGCGAAGUAUUGAGCCAUGCUAUUGAGCCAUACCGAGCAAUCUAUUGUCUAUCGUCUACCCGUUGCUUCCUACCUGUUCCGUCCGCCCAGUGUACUUACCUUGUCUGUUCCUCUUCCUCUUCCCAGACCCGUUCCCGAACCUGAACCUCUUGCCCCGCUGAGACCGGCUUCUCCUGGUACUCUUUCCCUGUGUUGUCGUGUCCCGUGUUUGUUCCUCUUUCGGCUUCGGACACAUGCUUCUGCCCCUCGACCAUUCUCCUCGCUUAGCCCCUUUCAUUGCUACGUACUAGUGCUGCCAAUAAAACUUCUGGCUGCGUGCAAAUCUAGAUCUCCGUUCCACUUCUUGGGCCAGUGUUACAGUUAUAAUAUAAUCUUUGUUAUCAUAUAAUGUUAUCAAUGUAUAUUAAAGCUGUUAAGGUAUGUUAGGAUAUUAAGGUAUACGAAUUACAUGGUGAUUAUGAAUGUUAUAUGAAUGCAUUGUAAAUGUAUAAUGUAGGUGCAGUUAAUGUAAAGUGUUACUGAAUAUAUACUAAUAAAUAGUUAUACAACAAAAAGAGACAAGAAUGUCAACUAUUCUCCAAGAAGUUACUUAUUUUAUGGAUGGAUAGAACAACAUGACAUCCAUUCCAAAAUAUUUCUAAAAUCGGCAAGAAAUAUUUUUCAGGAUCUGUGUUUUCCAUUGUGACUCUCAAAGCGCUGUCAUCAUCAACAUUUUGCUUUUCAGGUAAAGACUCCAACAGCAAGACUGUGGUACAGCAGCCUGUGUCUGACACUGUGUCUGACACAGACUCUGUGAGUCUGCAGUGUACGAUAGAGACUGGGAGCUGUGCAGGAGAACACAGUGUUUACUGGUUCAGACAUUGUUAGAGUGUAUCUGUGUAUUUUAUCAUAUUAUUAUCCUCCUAUAUGUGUACGUGCAACCCUUAACAACUAACCCAUGGCCCAGAAAGGGUUGCAGACAAGAUGUCCUCACAGGGGCCUACCAGAUUGUGACGCAGGAAUAAGAGACCUUGAGAAAGGAAACAGAUUCUGUCAACAUAGCAGGGGGCCCACCUUGAGAUAUGUAAUGCUUUGUAUUAACCCUGUUUCACGGAGGCCUCACACAGCAUUGACUAGUUUAAAGACAAGACCCAUGUAACCCCUCCCCUACCCUAUAAAUAAAGAAGCCAAGGGACUGUCCGGUGUGACACUCAACAGAGGCGCAGAUACUGUCUGUUGCACCUGAAGUGGGCACCCUUGCGCAAGUAAAACAGAAA
Long non-coding RNA from Brienomyrus brachyistius, 5785 nucleotides. RefSeq lists it as uncharacterized. The record is from RefSeq and is a predicted model, not a curated record. The transcript has 7 exons. Lineage: Eukaryota; Metazoa; Chordata; Actinopteri; Osteoglossiformes; Mormyridae.